Molecule: ribosomal RNA, 578 nt
Filed under: uncultured bacterium
Lineage: Bacteria
Description: bacterial SSU rRNA
Rfam family: Bacterial small subunit ribosomal RNA
Source: RNAcentral
CCUACGGGAGGCAGCAGUAAGGAAUAUUGGUCAAUGGGCGGAAGCCUGAACCAGCCAUGCCGCGUGCAGGAAGACGGCCCUAUGGGUUGUAAACUGCUUUUGUACCGGAAUAAACCCUUUUACGUGUAAGAGGCUGAAUGUACGGUAAGAAUAAGGAUCGGCUAACUCCGUGCCAGCAGCCGCGGUAAUACGGAGGAUCCAAGCGUUAUCCGGAUUUAUUGGGUUUAAAGGGUGCGUAGGCGGCCUGUUAAGUCAGGGGUGAAAGACGGUAGCUCAACUAUCGCAGUGCCUUUGAUACUGACGGGCUUGAAUGUACUUGAGGUAGGCGGAAUGUGACAAGUAGCGGUGAAAUGCAUAGAUAUGUCACAGAACACCAAUUGCGAAGGCAGCUUACUAAGGUAUGAUUGACGCUGAGGCACGAAAGCGUGGGGAUCAAACAGGAUUAGAUACCCUGGUAGUCCACGCCCUAAACGAUGAAUACUCGAUGUUGGCGAUAUACGGCCAGCGUCUAAGCGAAAGCGUUAAGUAUUCCACCUGGGGAGUACGCCCGCAAGGGUGAAACUCAAAGGAAUUGACGG